AUGGACGGCUGCAGAGCCGAGGUGCGACGAGCAGAUGGGAAGUCGGCGAGGCGCACAGGAAGCGGCGGCGCCCUAGACGGCUGCAGAGGAGAGAGGCCACAAGGGGAGGAGCUCAGGUGGAGCAACUCCUCGCUUCUGUCACCAUGUCCAAAGUCGUAUCCCUCGAGGCUGCAGUUCUCAAAAAAUAUAGAUCACAAUCUAAUUUUUCCUCUCCUUGAUCCCCUUCUUCCAAGGAUUGAAUCUCUUCAGUUCCAAAAUUCAAAUCAAUGCACAAUCAUCAUCUUAAACAACCACAUGAUCCAAUCCCAGCCUCCCCGGAUGCUUUGCUCCUCAAUAUUUAAAUCCCCUCAGUUUCACCAAGCACCAUGA
RNAcentral lists this ribosomal RNA (369 nucleotides) under Triticum aestivum (bread wheat). RNAcentral describes it as "partial small subunit ribosomal RNA". The record is from RNAcentral. Lineage: Eukaryota; Viridiplantae; Streptophyta; Magnoliopsida; Poales; Poaceae.